AAGAAAUGCUGAAAUUUGGAAGAAACAAAUUGUUUCACAUAUCGGUGGCUCCAAACCUAACUCCAGAAGAAGGGCUGAAAUGAUGGCUGAGACUGGACAAAAGCCUGGACGAGGACAACUUUAUCUCGCUACACAUAGGAAUGAAGAUGGAUCAUAUGUUAAUGAGGCGGCAAAAGAGAUAUGUG
This is a long non-coding RNA of Nicotiana attenuata, 185 nucleotides long. RefSeq lists it as uncharacterized. The record is from RefSeq and is a predicted model, not a curated record. The transcript is spliced from 2 exons. Lineage: Eukaryota; Viridiplantae; Streptophyta; Magnoliopsida; Solanales; Solanaceae.